UACGUAGGGUGCAAGCGUUGUCCGGAAUUAUUGGGCGUAAAGAGCUCGUAGGCGGUUUGUUGCGUCGGCUGUGAAAUCCCGAGGCUCAACCUCGGGUCUGCAGUCGAUACGAGCAAACUAGAGUGUUGCAGGGGGAGACUGGAAUUCCUGGUGUAGCGGUGAAAUGCGCAGAUAUCAGGAGGAACACCGAUGGCGAAGGCAGCUCGCUGGGACGGUACUGACGCUGAGGCGACGAAA
RNAcentral lists this ribosomal RNA (237 nucleotides) under uncultured bacterium. RNAcentral's name for it is "partial 16S ribosomal RNA". It matches the Rfam family "Bacterial small subunit ribosomal RNA", at positions 524 to 758 of the family's 1533-position model. The record is from RNAcentral.